This is an RNA transcript of Carcharodon carcharias (great white shark), 3977 nucleotides long. It is a transcript of the gene named chloride channel CLIC-like 1, with no coding region annotated. The transcript is spliced from 12 exons. The record is from RefSeq and is a predicted model, not a curated record. Lineage: Eukaryota; Metazoa; Chordata; Chondrichthyes; Lamniformes; Lamnidae.
CGCGGCGGUUUAUAUUCCUUACCGGGGUCGGGAUCGGGAUCGGGGUCGAGCUGGAGCCUGGACUCAGGCAAGAUUUGAAUUAUGCUCAUACCUUGGUUGAUAUUUGAAGCGCUCCUGGUAGCGAAUGGGCUGCAAGGUGACGAUGAUGAUGAGUGGAUUGAUCCAACAGAUAUGCUGAACUAUGAUGCUGCAGCAGGUAGAAUGAGAACGCCACGGGAGAGCAGAAUUAAGGAGGGUGAUACUGAAACGCUAACUACUAAGGAUUAUACAGAAGUUAAUCAGCAAAAAGAAUUCUGUCCAGAUUGUUCCACUUGUGAGAGACAACUUGAUCAUUUACAACAAAGGUUUGAAGAAUUUAGGAAGAAACAGUCAGUUGAAUCAACAGAAAUCGGUUGCAAUCCUGUUUUUAAAAGAUACCUGAAUAAGCUGCUGUUGGAGACUGGAAAAUUAGGCUUGCCUGGUGAUGACAAUGAAGUUCAUUAUGAUGCAGAGAUUUCAAUUUCAAAACAAGAUGUAACUGAGAUCAAGAAGUUUCUCAGUGGUAAGGCAUGGAAAGCUGGUGCUUUGGAUGAUGCACUUAGUAAACUUUUAAUUAAUUUUAAGUUUCAUGAUCAUGAAGCUUGGAAAUGGAGCUUUGAGGAUACAUUUGGUGUGGAUCCCUUAACAGCAUUUCUGUCGUUGGCCAACCUAACUUGUAUUGUUCUAAUUUUUCGGAUUGUGUGGAAUGUCGCCCCACCAUUUACACGGCCCUAUCGCUUCUUCUUGUUGUGCUUUCUGAUUAGUUUUGUUUGGAACUGGAUGUUUUUAUACAAGACAGCUUUCGCAAAGAGACAGGCUAAUUUUGCCAAAUUACAACUUGAUAAGCCUAUGUGUACAGGGGUACAAAACAUGGACUGGAAGGGUAGUCUGACUGAGUGGUUCAGGCGAACAUGGACGUUACAGAAUGACCCUUGUGAAAAGUACUAUGAAGCUCUCUUGGUGGAUCCAAUUUUGGAGGUUCCUCCAACCAAGGCUCUGAUGCUUACUAUAACAACACUGAUCACUGAACCGUUGAAACAUAUUGGGGAACCCAUCAGUCAAUUUUUCCGGGAUCUCCUUAAAGACUUACCGUGGAUCUGGCAGUUUCCUGUGACCUUGACAGUCAUAUUGGCUGUGGUUGCAUUCUGCUAUUCCUGUGGUCAUGCUGUUGUUCGAUAUGGCUUUUCCAGCUCACUUCCAAAUGUUGGUCCACAAGCUCCAAUUGCACAUCAUAACUUGCCACCAUAUAGUCUACAAGGCCCUGUUCGCAAUACUUUUUAUCAAGGGGGAAGAUAUGUGGAUUACCAAGCAGGGGGAGAUUCUAGCCAUGUUCCUAAGAUUAGAAGAGAUGAGGACCAUGAUGCUGUAUUUACUGGUACAAGCAGGCUAAGAGAUACAAAUCACCAGGGUGUGGAAGAUUUAAUGAACUGGGAAAGAGCUGGGAUGUCCAAAACUGGGCUAGGUGACAACCAGCUACGCAGAAGAAGAGUACCAGACCACCAAGAUUGUCAUUGUGCUAGGUACACUUCUGAACAGCUGGCGCCAAAUAAUGGGGUCUUUCCAACCACUGUACCACAGACACCAGAGGAAAACGCUGCACAAAGUGUGAUAGAAGAUGAUGACGUUCAUCAAGCUCAAGGAAUUGUUGAACAGUGUGAAAGGCAUAAUUUUCAAAAUAAUAAGGCAACUGAUGUGCCAGUUAGUAAAUUAGAUAAUCAGUUACACAAGGAGAGAAGAGCAGGCGAGGAGGAUAUGCAGGAUAAUGUUCUUGAGGAACUUGGAACUACUGACGGGCCCCUUGAUGCAGUUUUACAGCUUCCUUCAGAAAGGGAUGACACAGAGGUGGAAGUUACUGACAAAACGAAUGUGCAGGAAAGGAAAUGUGAAAAUGAGGCCUCUUUCAUAGAAAAUGUGGGAGUGCAAGAGAAUGCUCUUCUCUGAAACAAUCUGGAACCUGUUGAAAGGAAGGGUAAAAUCCAGAUUAAAAGCCCAGGCCAAUUGGGGAACAAAUUAGCCUUGAAGUCCACAUUGGUCCCAAUUUAUCGUACAAGAUAUCGUACCUCAUGUACAAGGUGAUCUCCACUUCAGCCAGAAGCAGGCUUUCAAUAAUCCAGAAUUUGGAGAGAACCAAAGAACAUGAGGAUUUCUGUUGAAGAAACCAACCUUAGUUGUAUCUUGCAACAGUUGCUGGUCAUUGGAAAUUUCUGUCAAAUGAUCUCAAGUAUUUUUCAUAAUGAAGUGCACAUCAUUUCUUUCAUUCAUUAACAUGACUUUGUUAACCUCUGAAGUAACACAAUUGUAUUGCUAGUGAGCAUUUUAAAUUUGGGUGGACAAAUAACAAUCUUCAUCCGUUCACAUACAUCUCCUUCUGAACAAAGCUUCAGACUGAACAUAAAGUAAAAUGAGUUAUCAGGAGAAAAACGUGCAACAUGAUACAAAAGUUUUACGUUCUCACUGAAAUGCACAUUUUCAGAUUUUUGCUACUGUAAACCUAAGUUCAUUUCAUUAUAUAUAUAUAUAUAUAUAUAUAUAUAUACACACACAAAAAUGUUAUUUUUUUAAAAUUGCAGGUAUAAAAAUCACUAAGUUCAAUUAAGGCUACAUAAUUGUAAAACAAUAUAUUAUUUUUUUCAGUUGAACUUUUAUUUCAUUGUUUAGACUGGAAGCAGCAUUUGCUGAUCCAGUCCAUUACCAUUGUUUGCGCACCAGACUAGAGUGGUGUUCAUCAACUUUCGGGAAUUCUAUAGAUGGCACAAACUUACAACUCCACUGCAAAUCUUGGGCUAUAAUCAAUGUAUCAGGAGCCUACAGUUCUGGCACUGAAUGCUACCUGCACCAGUGUCAGUGGAAGUCCUGUAUUAUUGCUGGUUUAUCACUGAUCUGUUUACAUUCAGUACUGUCCCACAAUUACUUCACUGCAAAAAAUUGUUUUCUUUUACUAGGAAAAACAAGAAAUGUGUAUAACUUGGCCACCUCUCUCUUCCUUUUGGGGCACUGGUUGUGCUACUGAUAUUUUACUGAGGUGCAUCUGAAAUGUGAUAGCAAUAUUAAACAAACCUGAAAUUAAUCGAAACCAAUAGCAUUUAGAGUGCAUCAUGCCACCUUUUGCCUUUCUAAUAAUCAAAACAUUUAUAUGUUUAUAAAGGUAUAUAUAGGUUCUUGAUUGGUAAGGGGAUCAAAGGUUACGGGGAGAAUGGGGUUGAGAAACUUAUCAGCCAUGAUUGAAUGGCAGAGCAGACUCGAUGGGCCGAAUGGCCUAAUUUCUGCUCCUUCGUCUUAUGGUCUUAUACGUAAUAGUUUAGCUUUAAUGUAUCUGUUUUUCUGUUUCACUUUCCUGUUGAUUUAAACAGAAGCCUUUUAAACUUGAAGAAUUAACAUCAGGGAACUGACAGAAGUUAGUGAAGCAAUAUUCAAAAUUAGAAACUAGUGAAGUCUCUUGGAUUGGUCAGCUAGAAGAAAGUUAUCAUUGGACAUUAGGUAGGGUUGCCACAAUUUGUAAACAAUUAUUUUUAAAAUCAAGAUAAGAUUUUUAUGGCUAAUUAUAUUGUUUAUGAUGGCGGUGAUACUUCUCAUAAUACGACACUUGUAGGAAGCGUAGAUUUUUUAAAUGAAUGCCCCAAGACUAUGUUGUCACAUCUAAGAACUUCUUGAUAAAAAGAAAAACAAAGUUUCAUGGCGAAAGUGGUUUCAGAUAAUAUAGUCAUUAUUUUUUGUUCAUACUGUAACUGUGUGGUUGCCUUUUUUGUUUCCCACCUGAAGUAAAUAGCUUGUUUAUUACUUUAAUUUCCAAAGUUGGCACAGUAAAGACUACCUCAAAUUCUUAAUGCAAAAAAUUAAUUUUAAAUUAUUUUCAGAAGUCCUAAUGGAAAGAAUUUGAUCUGCAAUCUGUAAAUAUGUGUAACAGUCCUUUUAGCAUGUUCAUGAAAUUAAACUUUUCAUACAUUCGUAUGAUAAGGAAG